GCAGUCGAGCGAACAGAAAAGGAGCUUGCUCCUUUGACGUUAGCGGCGGACGGGUGAGUAACACGUGGGCAACCUACCCUAUAGUUUGGGAUAACUCCGGGAAACCGGGGCUAAUACCGAAUAAUCUCUUUUACUUCAUGGUGAAAGACUGAAAGACGGCAUCUCGCUGUCGCUAUAGGAUGGGCCCGCGGCGCAUUAGCUAGUUGGUGAGGUAACGGCUCACCAAGGCGACGAUGCGUAGCCGACCUGAGAGGGUGAUCGGCCACACUGGGACUGAGACACGGCCCAGACUCCUACGGGAGGCAGCAGUAGGGAAUCUUCCACAAUGGGCGAAAGCCUGAUGGAGCAACGCCGCGUGAGUGAAGAAGGUUUUCGGAUCGUAAAACUCUGUUGUAAGGGAAGAACAAGUACAGUAGUAACUGGCUGUACCUUGACGGUACCUUAUUAGAAAGCCACGGCUAACUACGUGCCAGCAGCCGCGGUAAUACGUAGGUGGCAAGCGUUGUCCGGAAUUAUUGGGCGUAAAGCGCGCGCAGGCGGUCCUUUAAGUCUGAUGUGAAAGCCCACGGCUCAACCGUGGAGGGUCAUUGGAAACUGGGGGACUUGAGUGCAGAAGAGGAAAGUGGAAUUCCAAGUGUAGCGGUGAAAUGCGUAGAGAUUUGGAGGAACACCAGUGGCGAAGGCGACUUUCUGGUCUGUAACUGACGCUGAGGCGCGAAAGCGUGGGGAGCAAACAGGAUUAGACACCCUGGUAGUCCACGCCGUAAACGAUGAGUGCUAAGUGUUAGGGGGUUUCCGCC
Molecule: ribosomal RNA, 800 nt
Filed under: uncultured bacterium
Lineage: Bacteria
Description: bacterial SSU rRNA
Rfam family: Bacterial small subunit ribosomal RNA
Source: RNAcentral